Molecule: unclassified non-coding RNA, 404 nt
Filed under: soil metagenome
Description: partial contains 5.8S ribosomal RNA, internal transcribed spacer 2, and large subunit ribosomal RNA
Rfam family: 5.8S ribosomal RNA (bases 1-122)
Source: RNAcentral
GAUGAAGAACGUAGUAAAAUGCGAUACUUGGUGUGAAUUGCAGAAUCCCGUGAACCAUCGAGUUUUUGAACGCAAGUUGCGCCCGAAGCCUUUUGGCCGAGGGCACGUCUGCCUGGGCGUCGCGCAUCGCGUCGCCCCCCACAAUUCUCCGUAAAGGGAACAUGUGUUUUGGGGGCGGAUAUUGGUCUCCCGUGCUCAUGGCGUGGUUGGCCGAAAUAGGAGUCCUUUCGAUGGACGCACGAACUAGUGGUGGUCGUAAAAACCCUCGUCUUUUGUUUCGUGCUGUUGCUCGCAAGGUAAACUCUUUAAAAACCCCAAUGUGUCGUCUCUUGACGACGCUUCGACCGCGACCCCAGGUCAGGCGGGACUACCCGCUGAGUUUAAGCAUAUCAAUAAGCGGAGGA